CGGGAAAGGCUCAAAUUUGUAAUCUGGCGGUCUUGGGCCGUCCGAAUUGUAAACUAGAGAAGCGUUAUCCGCGCUGGACCGUGUACAAGUCCCCUGGAAUGGGGCGUCAUAGAGGGUGAGAAUCCCGUCUUUGACACGGACUCCCAGGGCUUUGUGAUGCGCUCUCAAA
RNAcentral lists this ribosomal RNA (169 nucleotides) under Hohenbuehelia petaloides. Its description in RNAcentral is "partial large subunit ribosomal RNA". It matches the Rfam family "Eukaryotic large subunit ribosomal RNA", at positions 99 to 261 of the family's 3401-position model. Lineage: Eukaryota; Fungi; Basidiomycota; Agaricomycetes; Agaricales; Pleurotaceae. The record is from RNAcentral.